This is a long non-coding RNA of Numida meleagris (helmeted guineafowl), 3376 nucleotides long. RefSeq lists it as uncharacterized. The record is from RefSeq and is a predicted model, not a curated record. The transcript has 3 exons. Lineage: Eukaryota; Metazoa; Chordata; Aves; Galliformes; Numididae.
GGAAGGACUGCUGUUAUAAUUAAACGACUCAGGUGCACGAAGCCUGCAAAGUUGGACACAGGUUGUUAGGCAUGGUUGCUACUCAUAAGGCACCUGUGAGGAGAGCUAACACCAGGAAACCUUGGCUUGCAAAAAAGUACCUGCUGGCAGAUGUAGUUGAUAUUCUUUCAGGAAAUAGUACCACCAGAGGUAAUUUUUUUCUUAAACUGUGCGUUUCAUCUGUAUCAGGGUUUCAAGUUAAUGCUUAUGGAACAGUCAAUUGGCAAAACAUGUAUUUUUAAACUCAGUAUUGUGUAAAAGCUAAGAUCAGGCCAGUAGAACUUGUCUAUGAAUGAUCAAAUUAAACUUGAUGUUUUUUAAUUGGCAUUCAAAUUUUGCGUAGAGUGCGGUUACUUCUUUCAAGAUUUUAGGGAAAAAGUGGAUGAAAUAUGUGGUAUAUAUGUCUUUUAAAUAGCUUUAGUGGUGGGAGGAAAUUUCUGAGGUUUUUUUUUUACUAUUCAGUCAGGGGACUCAGCAUUCAGGCUUUAUGCUAGGAGCUUGUGCAUGUGCUCAUAGCGUUAGGAGGCUGUAGUUUGACUGACAUAAAGGCAUUAAUAAUGGGACACUUGAAUUUCCCUUUGAAAGGAUAGUUUGCAAUUAUCUGGAUACAGGCCUCUGUAUUCAGCAAGAACCGUGAAAAAUAAUAGAAUAAACAGCUGUUCUUUCUGGAUUUCUUUCUCAACAUACAAGAAAACUUUUCAGUGCAGAAGGAAGUCCCAGGAAGUUAAACACUGCACGAAAUCACAGAAAACAGCAGUGGGUCAUUAAGUUUGGCUCCAAAGGAAGAAUUGAUUUAGCUUGAAUUUGUCAGUUCUGUGUUUGCGCCCAGUGGAGAUCUUAGAAGCUCUCCAUCCGUCUGUCAUGAGGUCUUUUCUAUAGUAUUUUAGAAACCUGUUUUUAAGAUAAAGAUUCACCUACAUUGCAAGCUCUAACCAACCCUAAAAAAUCUUCAUAAGAAAUAUAGAGGAGAAAGAAACUGAAAAACAGAGACAGACAGGAGCAGCAAGUAACAAUGCAGUGCAUCAGAAACACCGCAUAAGUGGUUGAAAUUCAGGAAGCACUGAAAAGUAAAAUGAGAAAUUGAAUGGUCAGGAUUCUGAAAAAUGAGAUAUGUUUAGCAGCAGGCAGUUACUUGGGUAAAUACAAGCCACUUAAUUAUGAGGUUAUAUUACUGAAUUUGAGGAAUAAUGGGGUCUUUGAGGAAUAAAAACCCCACAAACUUUCAAAAGAUAACUUUUAUACAACAUUUAAGAUAUAAAUAAGUGUUUGAAAUAGUUGAGCUACCUUGGAAGAACUAAGAAAAUUCGUAAUUCAGCAUAAAAUUUUAAUGGUGAUUAGAGAGUAAAAAAAAGGGCUGGUAGAAGAAGCCUUGAGUUUGCUUUAAAAAGGAUAUUUUGGAAUUUUCAAGGCUAUGGAAGUCUACUGGAUUACAAUUUUGGGGAAAGAAGAUAGAAAAUAAAAUCGACUAAAAUAUAUGCAAGGGUAAAGCUAAGUAAAAAUUACAAGGGGGGAAUGAUGUGAUGCAAACCGUUGCAUUGGAGGGAAGAGCUAGGAAUGCACUUAGUGGAAGUAAAUAAAUAAAGGCAGUGCCCUGUGAGUAUGUGCGAAAACAAACAGACAAACAAAAACAACUUUAAAAAUUCAGCAGAAAGGAAGAAUACAAGUAUAAGGAAAUGCAGUACUUCGUGCCUUCAUGCUGUAUGUCAAGGGUAGCUUCACAACGUGUUGGCUGUCAGUGUUCUCCUAUGGUUUGAAAAAGAGACUCUUCCAAGAGCUUGUCAGACCCAGACUUCUGUGGCCUCCAAGGCAGGAGUAGGGGACCAAUCUCUCAGAUGAGCCCUUGUUGUGUAGUCCCAAUCUCUGUAUACAAAUGUUGGAGAUUGCCUUUUAGCUGUUUGAGGUGUUUCUGGCAUUAGAUUCUGAAUGAGACUUAGUGGUUGCCAUUAUAUGUUUGUGAUGUGCUUGUAUGGCUCAUCUAGUUUAUCCCCCACUGCUUUCCUUAAGAGCUGCGGGCUACUGACCAGAUCCCUUUUAAUCUGGGAGGUGCUAUAGCAGGUGAAUGUGAUACCUAAUGUCACAUUAAAGGGUUUGAUUAAAAAAUGAGUUGUAUGACAAAAGUGUAUAGCCAUUUGGUCACAUGACAUGAAAAUAGUUUCUCCUUUGUAGAUAGAUGAAUUGCAUGCGGAAUUAAAGCAGGAAUGUCCGACCUUUUGACUUACCUGGGCUGCAUUGAAUGAAGAGGAAUGUCUUGGGCUGCAUAUGAAAUAUGUAAUGUAGUUAAUGUAUGUAACUAACAAAACUUUUUUUAAAAUUAAAACAUAAAAAAGGCAACAAAAACAUAAAACUAGCGGGUUGGACACGUAUGACUGAUCAAACUGAAUCUUGAAAAGAAGUAACUAAUAAAUAAAGGAAAUAAAUUUCAAAAUGUCUUUCUUUAUUGGAUAAAUAUAUGUAAAAAGUAAUUGUGCCUCAUGAAGUUAUUCUUUUGUUUAUAAGGUUGCUUACUGAACAGGAGGAGAUGAAGAGAAGGGAUGGGAGAAGUCCUUAGGUUUCACCUAAGGAGCAGAAAGAAGGCAGAGCUAUGAUGGUAUUCCAAGACUGAUUAAAUGCAGCUUCUGAAGACAGAGGAGUUGGAGAUGUAGUGUGUCAUGAACAAGAUUCAAGCCAAUGACUUAAACAGAUCAGUAAGAAAAAUUUCCUAAUUAGCACUCUUUGUACUUGAGAAAUCUAAUCUUAGUCAUUUCUAGCUAAUCCAUUUUCUUAACUCUUUAGUAGUCAUUUCAUUCUCUUUUUACAAAUUUUGCUUGGAAUUCCUUUUGUUAGGAAUUUCUUAAAUAGGAAAGACUAGUAAAAUUUACAACACUGAUAAAAUGCGUAUUCAAGACAAUAUAUGGUUGACAAUUUAGAUAAAUUUGUUUUUUUAGGAUUGAGUAAAAUUAGUCAUGGACUACUAAAACUACACUGAAGAACAUGAUUUAGAUAAUUAUUGCUUACAAAUCAGUUUGCCAGUAGAAAGUGGUAAGACAGAAGAGUGGCCCCCUUUUAGAAGUUGGUUGGGUGAAUGGCCAAAAAUGGGAAAUCAACAGAGGUCAAGGAGGCAGGAAUACAUCAGCAGUUCUCCUCUGGAAAUGGCUUUAGAGCUCUUCCUUUUGAGGAUACAUCCCUCCUACAAUCAUGGAGGUAAGUGAUGCUUCUCAUCCAUAUAGCUACUUGUACUCUACUGUCCAGAAUUCCAGGUCAUGCUUUAGAGUUGAGCCUUAUUCCAAAUACAUAUAUGCAUAUGGAUGUGUUUUUACAUUAACAGACAUUAUGGAGGUAUACAGUUUCAAGAACUCCC